UAGCAAUACCUUGAUGGCGACCGGCGCACGGGUGAGUAACACGUAUCCAACCUGCCGAUAACUCGGGGAUAGCCUUUCGAAAGAAAGAUUAAUAUCCGAUAGUAUAUUAAAACCGCAUGGUUUUACUAUUAAAGAAUUUCGGUUAUCGAUGGGGAUGCGUUCCAUUAGUUUGUUGGCGGGGUAACGGCCCACCAAGACUACGAUGGAUAGGGGUUCUGAGAGGAAGGUCCCCCACAUUGGAACUGAGACACGGUCCAA
Molecule: ribosomal RNA, 258 nt
Filed under: uncultured bacterium
Lineage: Bacteria
Description: partial 16S ribosomal RNA
Rfam family: Bacterial small subunit ribosomal RNA
Source: RNAcentral